GUAUAGAAUUAUAGAAUUAAAGCCAGGGCACCAUUGUUCAGAAGACACCUUGAACAAACCCUGCGCAACUCACUCCAGUAAAUGCUUCAGUUUAAUGUUUACAGGAGUCCAGAGAAAUGUCAGUUCUGCUUUAAAGGGACACUAUAGGCACCCAGACAACUUCAUCUCAUUGAAGUGGUCCUGGUGCAGUGUCCAUGUCUCACUUAGUCCUGCAAUGACAAUCCGAGUAGUGUUAAAGAAACUGCAAUAAUU
Non-coding RNA from Pelobates cultripes (western spadefoot toad), 252 nucleotides. The record is from the annotation of a GenBank genome assembly. NCBI's taxonomy places the organism in Eukaryota, Metazoa, Chordata, Amphibia, Anura, Pelobatidae.